RNAcentral lists this ribosomal RNA (497 nucleotides) under uncultured bacterium. RNAcentral describes it as "partial 16S ribosomal RNA". It matches the Rfam family "Bacterial small subunit ribosomal RNA", at positions 28 to 507 of the family's 1533-position model. The record is from RNAcentral.
GACGAACGCUGGCGGCGUGCCUAACACAUGCAAGUCGAGCGAACGGACGAGCAUUUUGUUGCGCUGUUGUGAGACGCGGAUGGGUGAGUAACGCGUGGAACACCUACCUAUAAGACUGGGAUAACUUCGGGACACCGGAGCUUAUGCCGGAUAAUCUUUUGAACCGCAUGGUUCAAAAGUGAAAGACGGUCUUGCUGGCACUUAUAGAGGGAUCCGCGCUGGAGUAGCUAGUUGGUAAGGUAACGGCUUACCAAGGCAACGAUGCAUAGCCGACCUGAGAGGGUGGUCGGCGACACUGGAACUGGGACACGGUCCAGGCUCCGACGGGAGGCAGCGGUAGGGAAUCGUCCGCAAUGGGCGAGAGCCUGACGGAGCAGCGGCGCGUGAGUGAUGGAGAUCUCGGGAUCGUGAAACUCUGUUACUAGGGAAGAACAUAUGUGUAAGUAGCUGUACACAUCGUGACGGUACCUGAUCAGAAAGCCACGGCUAACUACGUG